AGAGAGAGUUAAAGAGUACGUGAAACCGUUGAAGGGGAAACGAAUGCGACCAGCAAAGCACUCGUUGCAGAUUCAGUCGCGCGUCGUCGUCGCAGCGGGCGGCCAGAUCCGAAGGACUGACGUCGGCUUGUCGGCGGCGAGGCGCGCCGCACUUCUGCCCCGUGCGAGCCAACGACGGUUCGUCGACGGCGUUCGGUCGGCGCGUCAGGUGUCUCGCGACUUUGCGGUCGGGAGCGUUAGAGGCGCGCAGGCGAGGGCGUCGAGACGGACCGAGGCGACGUAGUUUCGGUGGCGGACCGCGCUUCUCUUUCGGGAGGGGCUAGAUGCGUGGGACUCGCGUCGUGCGUCGUUUUUCGGACUGCUUGCAGUGCGCGAAGCGGUCGUGCGGGCGAGCUCGGCUGUCGUCAUAAGCGGUCCCAGGUCGUUGGCGGUGAAAUGGUCUCAUCCGACCCGUCUUG
Molecule: ribosomal RNA, 458 nt
Filed under: Oscarella pearsei
Lineage: Eukaryota; Metazoa; Porifera; Homoscleromorpha; Homosclerophorida; Oscarellidae
Description: partial large subunit ribosomal RNA
Source: RNAcentral